GACGAACGCUGACGGCGUGCUUAACACAUGCAAGUCGAAUGGAGUGGCGAACGGGUGAGUAACACGUGAGUAACCUGCCCUUUUCUUUGGGAUUAGCCUGGGAAACUGGGACUAAUACUGGAUGGCAUGAGCUGGGAUCGCGGGUUAUCAGCUUGUUGGGGGGGUGAUGGCUUACCAAGGCUUUGACGGGUCGCCGGCCUGAGAGGGUGGUCGGUCAGUCUGGGUCUGAGAAACGGGACUGAGUCAUGCGCGUGACAGCAUUGGGGGAUAUGGCACAAUGGACGAAAGUCAGAUGCAGAGACGUCGUGUGGGGGAUGAAGGCCUGCGGAUUGAAUACUCCUUUCGCCCGCGGCAUGGUAGUGGGUAAAGAAGCGCCGGCUAACUACGUGCCAGCCGCCGCGGUAAGUC
Molecule: ribosomal RNA, 408 nt
Filed under: uncultured bacterium
Lineage: Bacteria
Description: partial 16S ribosomal RNA
Rfam family: Bacterial small subunit ribosomal RNA
Source: RNAcentral